UGUAAUUUUUCUUUCUUUUUAUUUUUUAAUUGAACAUAUUUUUCUAUACAAUAUAUUUUGAUCAUAGUUUCUUCUCCACCUCCUUCCAGCUCUUCCCCACCUUUCCACCCAUCCAACUCUAAGCAUUUAAGUAGGCACCUCCCCUGCAAAAACAAAACAAAACAAAACAAAACAAAACAAAACAAAACCACCACCACCACCACCAGCAGCAACAAUAAACAGAAUAAAAACAAAAAGAAAAAAAAGGAGAAGCACACAUAUUCCUCUGAUACCUAGAAACAGUCUUUACCUGGACCUCCUGUAAUUUUUCUUAACAGUGGUUCAGCCAUUUUGAGAUACAUUCCCUAUAGAAGAAGCAGGGCAAUGUUUCCUGUUCUUUCUUGUUAAAUAGCUUCAGCAAAACUCACUUAUCAUAAAAUUCAUCCCUUGUAACUACAGUUCAGCAAUUUUCAGAGUAUUUAUGCAAAUGUGAGACAUCACCACUAUCUGAUUUAGUAUAUUCCUGUCACCCUCAAACAAUUCCUGAGGUAUAUUUAUAGUCAACUCCCAUGUCUGCUCCCACUUCCCAGUAACCACUUGUCAAUUUCUCUAUAGAUUGGUGUUCUCUCUUUUUUCUUUCUUUCUCUUCUAACCUCUUAAUUUAUAAUAAUAUUUUUGAAGUGCAUUCAUAUUUUUCCACAUACAAGAUAUUUAUUCCUUUUAUUGCCAACCAAUAUUCUGUUAUAAUGAAUAUUUAGUCUGUUUGGCUAUUGUAAAUAAUUAACAAGUCUAUGAAUAUCUGUUCAGUUGUAGGCUAAGUAUAUGUUUAAAAUUUGAAUAUUUAGUUAACAUAUUCUUAUGUUACUGCGAGACCAGUGGCACGGGCUCCUUCAGGUCUGUCUGGGCUGGCACCCUGAGCAGACCUUGGAUGCAAAAUCCACAGCCAGCCCCACAACACCCAGAGGCAGUUUCACUCCUAGGCGCUUCAACAUGUCCAGGGUCAGAGGAUCCUGGGAUCCUAGGAGCUUGGUCACACCAGGAUCUCAAGGUCCCAAAGGCAACUUGACUCCUAGGAGCUCAGAUAUACCCAGGAUCUCAGGAAGAACAGAGUCCAGUCAGACAUAGCAAGGGAAGGGAGCAUUAGAGAUAAUCAGAUGGCAGGAGGCAAGCAUAAGAACAUAGGCAACAGAAACCAAGGUUACUUGGCAUCAUCAGAACCCAAUUCUCCCACCAUAGCAAGUCCUAGAUAUCCCAACACACAGGAAAAGCAAGAUUCAGAUCUGAAAUCACUUCUCAUGAGGAUGAUAGAAGACAUUAAGAAGGGCAUAAAAAUGUCCCUUAAAGAAAUACAGGAGAACACAGGUAAAUAGCUAGAAGCCAUUAAAGAGGAAACACAAAAAUCCCUUAGAUUUACAGGAAAUCAAAAUCAAACAGGGGAAGAAAGGAACAAAACCAUCCAGGAUCUAAAAAUGGAACUAGAAACAAUAAAGAAAUCACAAAGGGAAACAAUCCUGGAGUUAGAAAACCUAGGAAAGGGAUGAGGAGUCAUAGAUGCAAGCAUCACCAACAGAACGUCCUUAACCUAAAGAAAGAGAUGCCCAUGAACAUACAAGAAGCCUACAGAACUCCAAAUAGACUCAACCAGAAAAGAAAUUCCCCCGUCACAUAAUAAUCAAAACGCCAAAUGUACUAAACAAAAAAAGAAUUUUAAAAGCAGUAAGGGAAAAAGGUCAAGUAACAUAUAAAGGCAGGCCUAUCAAAGUUAUACCAGAUUUCUCACUAGAGACUAUGAAAGCUAGAUGAUCCUGGGCAGAUGUCAUACAGACCCUAAGGGAACACAAAUGCCAGCCCAGGCUACUAAACCUCUCAAUCACCAUAGAUGGAGAAAAUAAGAUAUUCCAUGACAAAACCAAAUUUACACAAUAUCUUUCCACAAGUCCAGCCCUACAAAGGAUAAUAGGUGGAAAACACCAACACAAGGAGUGAAACUACAACCUAGAAGAAGCAAGAAAGUAAUCUUUCAACAAACCCACACAAACAUAAUUCCACCUCUAACAAGAAAAUUAACAGGAAGUAACAAUCACUUUUCCUUAAUAUCUCUUAAUAUGAAAAUUAUUAUUACCAACAUAUCUUAUUCAAUUGAAAUUCAAAAAUAUGAGGAAUUAGAAUUUUGUUGGCCAUCAUCCCUGGGUCUUGCUAAUUUGGUAAUGGUAGAAAUAGGUCCAAUAUUGUACAAUCCAUAUACACUUCCUGCUUGUUUGUAAAUGACAGGAUCUUGCUGUGUGCCACAUAAUGGUCUUGAAAUCAUGCUUCUCCUAUCUCAGCUUCUCUAUUAGUAGGAUUGUUUAUUUGAUGUUUUUAUACUGUACUAUGGUUUUCAGAACAGCUCACAUAUUUCAAAAUUAUUUACACAGCUGAAAAAAUGUAGACAAUUAAUUUGGGAGGUGGCUUGUAAGAGAACAUCUAGGAGUGAGACUAAAGGCUUUGCUUGAUAUUUAUAAUUAUUGUAUCAAUUUUGAAGAAGAGGACUUUAUAAGUUACUCUUAUUUUGAGUUGAAUGCUUUUCAAAAUCAUCAUAGCCAGUGAACCAGAAUCUUGCCCUCACUUAACGUCUGUGCCACCCUCCAAGCAGAACCAUUGUUCAUUGAAACAGUUGAUGAAUGACUUAAUGAAUAGACCAUCUUAAUGCACACACCAUUUCUUAAAUGAAUGUAACCUGUUCCCUGUGCCUGAGAAUGAUGACAAUCACUCAAGUCAAAUAGCUUUGACCAUAGCAGCAAAUCUGUAUCCAAAAAAUCGUGCCUACAAUUCAUUCCUUAGCUCAGCAAAACUGUCAACUCUUAGCUUAUCUACAAUGGAGGUAAAAUCCUUUGGUGAUGUGAGGGACAUUCAAGUACAGCCUUAUUACAAUGAACUCCAAUGUCCAAAAACUGUUCUUUUUUGUGUUUGUACCACAUUAAGAGCCAAGAUUUUAAGCUCUACUAAAAAACAAACAAACAAACAAACAAACAGACUUUAUCAUUUAUUUUCAUUAAAAAAACUAAUAGUGAUAUAUUAUUUUAAAAUAUCAUACAGUUAAUAUAUUUGGAUUUAUUUAAAACUUAUGUUGAGAAAAACCUAUGUAUUUUCAGUAUUGCUGUAGACAAACAUCUACAUAAGACUGUUCAAUUGAUUGUUGUUUUAUAUCAAACAACUUUUAUAAUACUCAUUUUUAUUGUUACAAUAUUUUAUAAAUUUUAAAGAAUAUGAUAAAAACGAAAGAUAUUGCAGGUUUUGAAGGAGGCAGCUCUCUGGGAGGAGUUGGGGUACAAAAGGGC
RNAcentral lists this long non-coding RNA (3296 nucleotides) under Mus musculus (house mouse). Its description in RNAcentral is "long non-coding RNA chr4:111750688-111753984". The record is from RNAcentral. Lineage: Eukaryota; Metazoa; Chordata; Mammalia; Rodentia; Muridae.